RNAcentral lists this ribosomal RNA (468 nucleotides) under uncultured bacterium. RNAcentral's name for it is "partial 16S ribosomal RNA". It matches the Rfam family "Bacterial small subunit ribosomal RNA", at positions 28 to 507 of the family's 1533-position model. The record is from RNAcentral.
GACGAACGCUGGCGGCGUGCUUAACACAUGCAAGUCGAACGGAAAGGCCCUGCUUUUGUGGGGCGCUCGAGUGGCGAACGGGUGAGUAACACGUGAGUAACCUGCCCUUGACUUUGGGAUAACUUCAGGAAACUGGGGCUAAUACCGGAUAGGAGCUCCUGCUGCAUGGUGGGGGUUGGAAAGUUUCGGCGGUUGGGGAUGGACUCGCGGCUUAUCAGCUUGUUGGUGGGGUAGUGGCUUACCAAGGCUUUGACGGGUAGCCGGCCUGAGAGGGUGACCGGCCACAUUGGGACUGAGAUACGGCCCAGACUCCUACGGGAGGCAGCAGUGGGGAAUAUUGCACAAUGGGCGGAAGCCUGAUGCGGCAACGCCGCGUGCGGAAUGACGGCUUUCGGGUUGUAAACCGCUUUCGCAUGUGACGAAGCGUGAGUGACGGUAAUGGGUAAAGAAGCACCGGCUAACUACGUG